UUGGAAAUUUGAACGUUUCAAUAACUGGUUUAACUGUAAAUUGACAAAGUGAUCAAAAGGAUUGACAAGAAACCAAAAAUUAUCCAUUUUUUCAUUAAUCCGAUUGGCAAUUAACAUGUUAAUCAAUCUGGUUCAACAAUAGAUUAAACGAUCAAUUGGAUAACCAACUACCGGACAAUGGACUGUUAAUUGGCUUCCGGCGAUUGUGAUUCGAUUUGUGAGCGAUUUUAUGAAUGGAAGGCCUCGAACUUGAACUUUUCGUAUAUGAGUAAUCUUUUUACCUGAAUUUUCAGCUACACAUCCAUAAGAACCUCCAUCUAACAGGAUAAUCCCUUGUAAUUUCAAUAAGCUCACGAUUACAUUUUCCUGUGUUCAUGAAAGAUGAAACAUGAAUGAAUUACCAUGAGAAAACUAAAGAGUCCAAGUGACCCUUGGUAUUGGAUAACCUUCAACUUUACAUGAAAGGAUUCAAUUUUUAAUCUACUUGGAUUUAACAAUUUAAUUGUCGAUGAACCAUUCAAAGGAUACAAUAAAUUCAAUGGAUGACCAUUAAAUCGCCAUUCAAUUGAGUUUCCAAUUCAAUUCUAUAUAUAAGGCUAACAUGAUGAAUCUACUCUAACCAAGAUGUUAAUAUAUUCCUGAAACUGAUAUACUCUAAUGAGAUAUUGAGGAUUACUAAAUGAAAUGAUUUCUUUUAUUGGAUUUAAUAGUAAAGAAAAGUAAGUAAACAUACCCUUAGGGUAAAUGUAAAAAAUGAUCAUAAUGUUCACUAUCAACUCUACUUUUUCAUGAUGAGAGAAACUCAUCAUUAUCAUCUUCAUCUUCAUCCUCAUCAUCAGGAAUCCUCAUGACAUCAGAACUCUUCAGUUAUUAGCUUUUUUUCAUCAUCAUCUUCAUGAUUAACUCUCAAUGUAUCAGAAUGUAUUUAAUAACUGUCCAUCCUUAAGGAUGCCCAAUGGUCACAAACAUUUUGACAAGAAUCCCUUUAAUCAUGAAUGAACUUUUUUCUAUCAAAUCAACUCAAUCAUGUUAUUAUAUUUUAUCAAUCCAAUGAUUACAAUUAACUCUAACUAUUUACAACUAUUAUCGGAAACCUCUAAUUAUCUCAAAUGAAUCAAUUGAUUUGAACUUCAUUAUGGGAAAAAAAACUUUUGCCUCUUAUCGGUUUCCCAUAAAGUGCAAGUAUCUCUCAAUGCUGGUCAAGUGGUCAGUUUCUGAUUUGGAUCAUCGUGUGUCUAUCCUCAUUUACUGAACUUUUAACCAUCAUGAUUAAAUUUGAAUUUAUGGUGAAAAUAUGGUUAUUAUUUAUUUACAUUUUAAACUAAUAAACUGACCACAACUUUUGUUAUCUUUUCUUUCAGGUAAAUACUAUGAAAAUGGAUCAAGAGGUGAACAAAAAGUUAACGGUAAAACUUACAGCGAACCAUUAGUUGAAUUGAAACUUUAUCGUGACCCAAUGAAUUAUUUGCCCAGC
Long non-coding RNA from Panonychus citri (citrus red mite), 1474 nucleotides. RefSeq lists it as uncharacterized. The record is from RefSeq and is a predicted model, not a curated record. NCBI's taxonomy places the organism in Eukaryota, Metazoa, Arthropoda, Arachnida, Trombidiformes, Tetranychidae. The transcript has 5 exons.